RNAcentral lists this ribosomal RNA (532 nucleotides) under uncultured prokaryote. RNAcentral's name for it is "bacterial SSU rRNA". It matches the Rfam family "Bacterial small subunit ribosomal RNA", at positions 94 to 639 of the family's 1533-position model. The record is from RNAcentral.
AGCGGCGGACGGGUGAGUAACACGUGGGUAACCUGCCUCAAAGAGGGGAAUAGCCUCCCGAAAGGGAGAUUAAUACCGCAUAAUAUUAAAGUUUCACAUGGAGCUUUAAUUAAAGGAGUAAUCCGCUUUGAGAUGGACCCCGCGGCGCAAUAGCUAGUUGGAGAGGUAACGGCUCACCAAGGCGACGAUGCGUAGCCGACCUGAGAGGGUGAUCGGCCACAUUGGAACUGAGACACGGUCCAGACUCCUACGGGAGGCAGCAGUGGGGGGAAUAUUGCACAAUGGGCGAAAGCCUGAUGCAGCAACGCCGCGUGAGUGAUGACGGUCUUCGGAUUGUAAAGCUCUGUCUUUUGGGACGAUAAUGACGGUACCAAAGGAGGAAGCCACGGCUAACUACGUGCCAGCAGCCGCGGUAAUACGUAGGUGGCAAGCGUUGUCCGGAUUUACUGGGCGUAAAGGAUGUGUAGGCGGAUACUUAAGUGAGAUGUGAAAGCCCCGGGCUCAACCUGGGGACUGCAUUUCAAACUGGGUA